This 378-nucleotide ribosomal RNA is filed under the name uncultured eukaryote. Its description in RNAcentral is "partial 18S ribosomal RNA". It matches the Rfam family "Eukaryotic small subunit ribosomal RNA", at positions 592 to 976 of the family's 1831-position model. The record is from RNAcentral.
CAAUAGCGUAUAUUUAAGUUGUUGCAGUUAAAAAGCUCGUAGUUGGAUUUCGGGUGGGACGCAGCGGUCUCGCAUUGCGUUUGUACUGCUGCAGCCCUCCUUCUUGCCGGGGGCGGCCUCUCGGACUUCACUGUCUGGGGGUCAGAAUCGGCGAUGUUACUUUGAGUAAAUUAGAGUGUUCAAAGCAAGCUUACGCUCUGAAUAUAAUAGCAUGGGAUAACACGACAGGACUCUGGCCUAUCGUGUUGGUCUAUAGGACCAGAGUAAUGAUUAAGAGGGACAGUCGGGGGCAUUCGUAUUCCGUUGUCAGAGGUAAAAUUCUUGGAUUUACGGAAGACGAACAUCUGCGAAAGCAUUUGCCAAGGAUGUUUUCAUUGA